UCUAGAACUUCAUAUAUGGGUAAACUUCUGAGUAGUGUUUGAGUUGUAUUUUAGGACAAAUUCUGACUUCUCUUUUGUGGCCAAGCUUUGAAUUUGAAAACGGCAGAUUUAGGUCUUCAACUCUUCUUGAAAGUUGUAGACCUAUGUCUUAAAUUGCCAUA
Populus trichocarpa (black cottonwood) is the source of this 161-nucleotide non-coding RNA. NCBI's taxonomy places the organism in Eukaryota, Viridiplantae, Streptophyta, Magnoliopsida, Malpighiales, Salicaceae. The record is from Rfam.